UAGAAUGUGAAAUGAUUUUGCGUAGGAACUUGGCUAGGACAAAAUUGUUGCCGUCUAAAGAGAUUUUGAGAAUGAAAGCAUGGAUUUGGAGGAGGUGAUUAUGGUUGGUUGAGAGUUCAAUGAGGGACAUUACAUUUUGUUCUAUGGUUUUGUUGGGGAGAGAAUUGAAAAGUUUAGACAAGAACCGCAUAGUUACAUGAAUAACGAACUUUGGCGGGUCUUUUUUUAGUUUGUUUUUAAGAUAGAAAAAUGUCCACAGCAGGACUGUGUGUCUGAGUUCCACUUGGCG
RNAcentral lists this long non-coding RNA (289 nucleotides) under Panax ginseng (ginseng). RNAcentral's name for it is "long non-coding RNA (PGIN_LNC004964)". The record is from RNAcentral. Lineage: Eukaryota; Viridiplantae; Streptophyta; Magnoliopsida; Apiales; Araliaceae.